AGGGUUUGAUCAUGGCUCAGGAUGAACGCUAGCGGCAGGCCUAACACAUGCAAGUCGAACGGUAACAUGAGAGCUUGCUCUUGAUGACGAGUGGCGCACGGGUGAGUAACGCGUAUGCAAUCUACCUAUAACUGAGGGAUAGCCCAGAGAAAUUUGGGUUAAUACCUCAUAAUAAUAUUUUUUGGCAUCAUUAAAUAUUUAAAACUUCGGUGGUUAUAGAUGAGCAUGCGUUCUAUUAGUUUGUUGGUGAGGUAAAAGCUCACCAAGACUACGAUAGAUAGGGGGCCUGAAAGGGUGAUCCCCCACACUGGUACUGAGACACGGACCAGACCCCUACGGGAGGCAGCAGUGAGGAAUAUUGCACAAUGGAGGAAACUCUGAUGCAGCCAUGCCGCGUGCAGGAUGACGGCCCUAUGGGUUGUAAACUGCUUUUUUACAAGAAGAAACCUUGGUACGUGUACCAACUUGACGGUAUUGUAAGAAUAAGCACCGGCUAACUCCGUGCCAGCAGCCGCGGUAAUACGGAGGGUGCAAGCGUUAUCCGGAUUUAUUAGGUUUAAAGGGUUCGCAGGCGGAAUUUUAAGUCAGUGGUGAAAGCCUACAGCUCAACUGUAGAACUGCCAUUGAAACUGAUAUUCUUGAGUAUAGAUGAAGUGGG
Molecule: ribosomal RNA, 658 nt
Filed under: uncultured bacterium
Lineage: Bacteria
Description: bacterial SSU rRNA
Rfam family: Bacterial small subunit ribosomal RNA
Source: RNAcentral